AGUGAACGCUGGCGGUAGACCUAACACAUGCAAGUCGAACGGCAGCACAGUAAGAGCUUGCUCUUACGGGUGGCGAGUGGCGGACGGGUGAGGAAUACAUCGGAAUCUACUUUUUCGUGGGGGAUAACGUAGGGAAACUUACGCUAAUACCGCAUACGACCUACGGGUGAAAGCAGGGGAUCUUCGGACCUUGCGCGAUUGAAUGAGCCGAUGUCGGAUUAGCUAGUUGGCGGGGUAAAGGCCCACCAAGGCGACGAUCCGUAGCUGGUCUGAGAGGAUGAUCAGCCACACUGGAACUGGGACACGGUCCAGACUCCUACGGGAGGCAGCAGUGGGGAAUAUUGGACAAUGGGCGCAAGCCUGGUCCAGCCAUACCGCGUGGGUGAAGAAGGCCUUCGGGUUGUAAAGCCCUUUUGUUGGGAAAGAAAAGCAGCAGGUUAAUACCCCGCUGUUCUGACGGUACCCAAAGAAUAAGCACCGGCUAACUUCGUG
Molecule: ribosomal RNA, 492 nt
Filed under: uncultured bacterium
Lineage: Bacteria
Description: partial 16S ribosomal RNA
Rfam family: Bacterial small subunit ribosomal RNA
Source: RNAcentral